UACAGAGGGGGCAAGCGUUGUUCGGAAUUACUGGGCGUAAAGGGCGCGUAGGCGGCCUGCUAAGUCGAACGUGAAAUCCCUCGGCUUAACCGGGGAACUGCAUCUGAUACUGGAUGGCUUGAGUUCGGGAGAGGGAUGCGGAAUUCCAGGUGUAGCGGUGAAAUGCGUAGAUAUCUGGAGGAACACCGGUGGCGAAGGCGGCAUCCUGGACCGACACUGACGCUGAGGAGCGAAAGCCAGGGGAGCAAACGGG
This 253-nucleotide ribosomal RNA is filed under the name uncultured bacterium. Its description in RNAcentral is "partial 16S ribosomal RNA". It matches the Rfam family "Bacterial small subunit ribosomal RNA", at positions 524 to 776 of the family's 1533-position model. The record is from RNAcentral.